AGCCCGCGGCCYUCAGCUWGUUGUGAGGUAACGGCUCACCAAGGCGACGACGGGUAGCCGGCCUGAGAGGGCGACCGGCCACACUGGGACUGAGACACGGCCCAGACUCCUACGGGAGGCAGCAGUGGGGAAUAUUGCACAAUGGGCGCAAGCCUGAUGCAGCGACGCCGCGUGAGGGAUGACGGCCUUCGGGUUGUAAACCUCUUUCAGCAGGGAAGAAAGCGAAAGUGACGGUACCUGCAGAAGWAAGCGCCGGCUAACUACGUGCCAGCAGCCGCGGUAAUACGUAGGGCGCAAGCGUUGUCCGGAAUUAUUGGGCGUAAAGAGCUCGUAGGCGGCUUGUCACGUCGGGUGUGAAAGCCCGGGGCUUAACCCCGGGUCUGCAUUCGAUACGGGCAGGCUAGAGUGUGGUAGGGGAGAUCGGAAUUCCUGGUGUAGCGGUGAAAUGCGCAGAUAUCAGGAGGAACACCGGUGGCGAAGGCGGAUCUCUGGGCCAUUACUGACGCUGAGGAGCGAAAGCGUGGGGAGCGAACAGGAUUAGAUACCCUGGUAGUCCACGCCGUAAACGGUGGGAACUAGGUGUUGGCGACAUUCCACGUCGUCGKGCCGCAGCUACGCAUUAAGUUCCCCGCCUGGGGGAGUACGGCGCAGGCUAAACUCAAGGAAUUGACGGGGCCCGCACAGCAGCGAGCAUGUGGCUAUCGACGCACGCGAGACUUACAGCUUGACAUACACGGAAGCAUUAGAGAUAGUGCCCCUUGUGUCGGGUACAGGUGGUG
Molecule: ribosomal RNA, 779 nt
Filed under: Streptomyces griseorubiginosus
Lineage: Bacteria; Bacillati; Actinomycetota; Actinomycetes; Kitasatosporales; Streptomycetaceae
Description: bacterial SSU rRNA
Rfam family: Bacterial small subunit ribosomal RNA
Source: RNAcentral